Molecule: ribosomal RNA, 503 nt
Filed under: uncultured Pseudomonadota bacterium
Lineage: Bacteria; Pseudomonadati; Pseudomonadota
Description: bacterial SSU rRNA
Rfam family: Bacterial small subunit ribosomal RNA
Source: RNAcentral
AAUGAACGCUGGCGGCAGGCCUAACACAUGCAAGUCGAACGAGGCAGCAAUGCCUAGUGGCGGACGGGUGAGUAACGCGUGGGAACAUACCCUUUGGUUCGGAAUAGCCCUUGGAAACGGGGAGUAAUACCGAAUGUGCUCGCAAGAGGAAAGAUUUAUCGCCAAAGGAUUGGCCCGCGUUGGAUUAGGUAGUUGGUGGGGUAAUGGCCUACCAAGCCGACGAUCCAUAGCUGGUUUGAGAGGAUGAUCAGCCACACUGGGACUGAGACACGGCCCAGACUCCUACGGGAGGCAGCAGUGGGGAAUCUUAGACAAUGGGGGAAACCCUGAUCUAGCCAUGCCGCGUGAUCGAUGAAGGCCUUAGGGUUGUAAAGAUCUUUCAGUUGGGAAGAUAAUGACGGUACCAACAGAAGAAGCCCCGGCUAACUCCGUGCCAGCAGCCGCGGUAAUACGGAGGGGGCUAGCGUUAUUCGGAAUUACUGGGCGUAAAGCGCACGUAGGCG